CCCUUAGACGUUCUGGGCCGCACGCGCGCUACACUGACCAGUGCAACAAGCAUCCGUCCUUGGCCGACAGGCCCGGGCAAUCUUUGAACGCUGGUCGUGAUGGGGAUAGACUUUUGCAAUUUUUGGUCUUCAACGAGGAAUUCCUAGUAAACGCAAGUCAUCAACUUGCAUUGAUUACGUCCCUGCCCUUUGUACACACCGCCCGUCGCACCUACCGAUUGAAUGGUCCGGUGAAGCCUCCGGAUUGGCGCGCACCUCGGUGCCGCCGAGAAGUUGGCUAAACCUUACCAUUUAGGGGAAGGUGAAGUCGUANCA
RNAcentral lists this ribosomal RNA (315 nucleotides) under uncultured eukaryote. Its description in RNAcentral is "partial 18S ribosomal RNA". It matches the Rfam family "Eukaryotic small subunit ribosomal RNA", at positions 1470 to 1796 of the family's 1831-position model. The record is from RNAcentral.